RNAcentral lists this non-coding RNA (60 nucleotides) under unclassified sequences. RNAcentral describes it as "L2-Alphaproteobacteria ribosomal protein leader". It matches the Rfam family "L2-Alphaproteobacteria ribosomal protein leader". The record is from RNAcentral.
GGGGACCUUCGGGGCCCUUCAUCUAACGGACCUAUGGUCCAAAGCAACGGAAGACAGAGA